UUCCGCCCGGCUGUUCCGCUCUCGUGGUGUCGUCCCGAUUACGGGAAAACAUUCACGGAGAGUUUGAUCCUGGCUCAGGACGAACGCUGGCGGCGUGCUUAACACAUGCAAGUCGAACGAUGAAGCCCUUCGGGGUGGAUUAGUGGCGAACGGGUGAGUAACACGUGGGCAAUCUGCCCUGCACUCUGGGACAAGCCCUGGAAACGGGGUCUAAUACCGGAUAAUACUCUCGCAGGCAUCUGUGAGGGUUAAAGCUCCGGCGGUGCAGGAUGAGCCCGCGGCCUAUCAGCUUGUUGGUGAGGUAGUGGCUCACCAAGGCGACGACGGGUAGCCGGCCUGAGAGGGCGACCGGCCACACUGGGACUGAGACACGGCCCAGACUCCUACGGGAGGCAGCAGUGGGGAAUAUUGCACAAUGGGCGAAAGCCUGAUGCAGCGACGCCGCGUGAGGGAUGACGGCCUUCGGGUUGUAAACCUCUUUCAGCAGGGAAGAAGCGAAAGUGACGGUACCUGCAGAAGAAGCGCCGGCUAACUACGUGCCAGCAGCCGCGGUAAUACGUAGGGCGCAAGCGUUGUCCGGAAUUAUUGGGCGUAAAGAGCUCGUAGGCGGCUUGUCACGUCGGGUGUGAAAGCCCGGGGCUUAACCCCGGGUCUGCAUUCGAUACGGGCUAGCUAGAGUGUGGUA
RNAcentral lists this ribosomal RNA (685 nucleotides) under Streptomyces avermitilis. RNAcentral describes it as "bacterial SSU rRNA". It matches the Rfam family "Bacterial small subunit ribosomal RNA", at positions 1 to 653 of the family's 1533-position model. The record is from RNAcentral. Lineage: Bacteria; Bacillati; Actinomycetota; Actinomycetes; Kitasatosporales; Streptomycetaceae.